Molecule: non-coding RNA, 88 nt
Organism: Triticum urartu
Lineage: Eukaryota; Viridiplantae; Streptophyta; Magnoliopsida; Poales; Poaceae
Source: Rfam
GCCAGCAAGUGUUGAUCAGAUAUCCUACACUCUCAAUGGAAAAAUCCAUGUGUGGACUACUAAUCCCCGCUUAUUAUCUGAUGCCUUG